Molecule: ribosomal RNA, 376 nt
Filed under: Cryptophyceae sp.
Lineage: Eukaryota; Cryptophyceae
Also listed under: 1 other name
Description: SSU rRNA
Rfam family: Eukaryotic small subunit ribosomal RNA
Source: RNAcentral
CCAGCUCUAAUAGCGUAUAUUAAAGUUGUUGCAGUUAAAAAGCUCGUAGUUGGAUUUUGGGGGCGAUCGUGCGGGCAGCGUUUGUUGUACUGUUUGGUCGCCCUCUUUCUUCCGUGUGACCAUGGGCAUUCACUUGUCUGUGUAAUUGCGCGGAUCGUUUACUGUGAAAAAAUUAGAGUGUUCAAGGCAGGCGUUUGCUUGAAUACAUUAGCAUGGAAUAAUGGAAUAGGACUUCGGACCUAUUUUGUUGGUUUCUAGGACCGUCGUAAUGAUUAAUAGGGACAGUUGGGGCCGUUCAUAUUCCGUAGUCAGAGGUGAAAUUCUUGGAUUUACGGAAGAUGAACUACUGCGAAAGCAUUCGGCAAGGAUGUUUUCG